GCCUUCUUGGUGUAGUGGUCAGCACGUUCGUCGCGUAUCCGAGAGGUCUGUGGUUCGAAUCCCGGUGAUGGCA
RNAcentral lists this transfer RNA (73 nucleotides) under Stegodyphus mimosarum. It matches the Rfam family "tRNA". From Rfam's summary of the family: Transfer RNA (tRNA) molecules are approximately 80 nucleotides in length. The record is from Rfam by way of RNAcentral. Lineage: Eukaryota; Metazoa; Arthropoda; Arachnida; Araneae; Eresidae.